RNAcentral lists this transfer RNA (81 nucleotides) under Diaporthe helianthi. It matches the Rfam family "tRNA". From Rfam's summary of the family: Transfer RNA (tRNA) molecules are approximately 80 nucleotides in length. Their secondary structure includes four short double-helical elements and three loops (D, anti-codon, and T loops). Lineage: Eukaryota; Fungi; Ascomycota; Sordariomycetes; Diaporthales; Diaporthaceae. The record is from Rfam by way of RNAcentral.
GGCAGAAUGGCGGAGUGGUUAACGCGACAGCCUGCUAAGCUGUUUCCCUCGGGAGCGCGAGUUCGAAUCUCGUUUCUGUCG